Molecule: ribosomal RNA, 250 nt
Filed under: uncultured bacterium
Lineage: Bacteria
Description: partial 16S ribosomal RNA
Rfam family: Bacterial small subunit ribosomal RNA
Source: RNAcentral
UACGGGGGGGCAAGCGUUGUUCGGAAUUACUGGGCGUAAAGGGCUCGUAGGUGGCCAACUAAGUCACACGUGAAAUCCCUCGGCUUAACCGGGGAACUGCGUGUGAUACUGGAUGGCUUGAGUUUGGGAGAGGGAUGCGGAAUUCCAGGUGUAGCGGUGAAAUGCGUAGAUAUCUGGAGGAACACCGGUGGCGAAGGCGGCAUCCUGGACCAAUACUGACACUGAGGAGCGAAAGCCAGGGGAGCAAACG